UUCUCUUUAUCUCUCAGGAAAGAGUAAUUAACCAUGCAGCUGGCAGUCAUGGAGUGUCAGGAAUAUUCAUGAAAUAUGAUAUCAGUUCCCUUAUGGUGACAGUGACAGAGGAACACAUGCCUUUUUGGCAGUUCUUAGUACGGCUCUGUGGCAUUAUCGGGGGAAUUUUUUCAACUACAGGAAUUUUACAUGGCUUUGGGAGAUUUGUAGCAGAAGUUAUUUUUUGCCGUUUCAGACUGGGCUCCUACAGACGUACAUCGGACCCACUUCCCGAUGGCCACACAAGCAACCACUUACCUCUAACUACGGACAACAGCACGCAUUAGCGCCUCCUGAGAGAGUUCUCUUUCCUCCUGCCUGAUACAGAAGACAUUUUUUAUAAUAAUGAGAACAUUGUGCAAUAUGCAGAGACAGUGCUGAUGGGCAGUGGAAAGUGAAGCUUCUACAAAAACAAACAGCAAUUUAUGUAACUUCUUGUCUUUUUAAGUGCAUAUGGAGUCAUGGGAGGUUGCGAGACCGGUGUGGUGGACCAUCUUCUGGAGUUUAAAGGAGCCUUCCUGCCAGUGCAGUAUUUGUGGUCAAGCUGAAUCGUUUUGACUGUCAUCAGCCACUGGAGGGUCUGCUUAGCGAUCUCAGUUCUGUACCUGGGAGGCUGGCAGGCUCCAGUGAGAAAAGAGAACAGCUGGGAUGUGUGGAGGGCUGGGCAGCAAGCAAAGAGGGACAGUAGUAAAGCUGGAGUUUUCUCUUAAGUUUGCAGACUGGGUUUGUGUUUUCUUGUUCUUUUUUAAUGGCUGAGGGUGGGGGCUGAGAUACAAGCGGGGAGCGAAUCUAGAAGAUCCUAAAGACAACUCUGGAGUAGGAUGGAGCCCAAGCCAUACUGUUGGUCAUAGCCUCUGCCUUUCUUUUCUCUCACAUUCCUUAGAGGAAGAAACACAAUGCAGAACAGGGCAGUUCCUCUGUUUUCCUACUGCUGCUUAGCCAGCACUUCUGGUGUUUGUUGUGGAAGUGGCCAAGGCCUCUGAAAAUGGGUUCCAGUGUGCCUGGCACUGUUUUUGAGUUGGAAUGAGAAGCCUUUUAAGUGAGGCAUCUGAGCGUAGUUUUGACUCCCUUACAAAAGAUCAGGUAACUCUCUAUAUGCUUCUUUCUUAGUUAAGAAGUUGCUUUAAUGCAACUUUCCUUCUACCGUUGCUGCUAGCCUGCAAGCCAUGGUAUGUAAAUCCUGAGUAUGGAGAGCAAAAGAGCCAGGGACUGCCUUGCUUUGGUUCAGUUACACACCACAGAAACAUGGAACUGGUGGGGUUGGUUUGGUUUCCAGGCAGGAGGUGGCUUCAGGGAAUCGGAAUCAUUUUGCUGCAAACAAAUGGGGAGAAGGGAUAUGCAGAGUCCAUCCUUACUGUUCAUGAAGGUUUUUGUAAAAUAAACAAAAAGCAAUAUCAGUUUAUAUUGUUAAUAUGCUAUUGAGAGUGAGUGUUAUUAAUGCAGCUGGUGGUGCUUUGAGAAACUGAAGACCCUCCUCUUACAGCUGAACUAUGGGCAUACACCUGUGCUUAAACAGUUAUUUCCCCGAGGAUAAAAAAUAACAUUAGUGUGAUUCCUUCUCACAAAACUGAUCUAAUAGCAUAUUAUGAGAUUAUGCUGACUUUGGCCUUGCCAGGGACAAAGGAAAAUAAAAGGCUUUGUGACGUUGUCAGGUUUUGCUGACUUCCGUUAAUGUGAUUUACCAGAAGCUUGGAUCCUAGUGAUGAACUCAGUACAAAUAAUUUAGCUGGUUUUCUGUGCAGAGCCAAGAGCUUCCUAAACUGAGAAAUUGCAUGAAGUACCAAAUAAAGUGCGGGAAACGAGGAAAGGCCUUUGUUUAGUUUGACUGUUGGGAAAGACAGAAGUUCAGGGAAGCCAGGUCUGUGAGGUAACAGCUGCCUUUGGUGCUUUUCUGUUUUUGGGGGUUUAUGGGUUUUGUUUGUUUGUUUUUAACGCUGACUAAAGCUCAGCAGCUUGAAAAGCAAACUCUUGCCUUCAGUGAGAAUGGAGCUCAGAAGCUGUAAGUUCUGGGUUCCCAUUUGUCUUUGGCAUUUCCCUCUGAGGUUUCUUCCCUCCCUCUUGGACUGGUUCUGCUUUGGGCUCUGCCCCAGCACCUGUUUCUGAGCUGCACGAAACAAACUGUACUGGUGGGGGAUCUUCACCUCUGUUGACUUUCUGUACCAGAACUUAAUGUUAUUUUCUGUUGUCAUAUAAAAGAGCCAAAUGGCUUGUUGUGUCUUAAA
This is a non-coding RNA of Meleagris gallopavo (turkey), 2261 nucleotides long. Lineage: Eukaryota; Metazoa; Chordata; Aves; Galliformes; Phasianidae. The record is from RefSeq and is a predicted model, not a curated record.